AGAUUGAACGCUGGCGGCAUGCCUUACACAUGCAAGUCGAACGGCAGCACGGGAGCAAUCCUGGUGGCGAGUGGCGAACGGGUGAGUAAUACAUCGGAACGUGCCCAAUCGUGGGGGAUAACGCAGCGAAAGCUGUGCUAAUACCGCAUAAGAUCUACGGAUGAAAGCAGGGGAUCGCAAGACCUUGCGCGAAUGGAGCGGCCGAUGGCAGAUUAGGUAGUUGGUGAGGUAAAGGCUCACCAAGCCUUCGAUCUGUAGCUGGUCUGAGAGGACGACCAGCCACACUGGGACUGAGACACGGCCCAGACUCCUACGGGAGGCAGCAGUGGGGAAUUUUGGACAAUGGGCGAAAGCCUGAUCCAGCCAUGCCGCGUGCAGGAUGAAGGCCGUUGGUUGUAACGUGUCUUUGUACGGAACGAACGGUCCUAGGUAACUACCGUGGGACUAAGUGACGGUACGUAAGAAUAAG
Molecule: ribosomal RNA, 469 nt
Filed under: uncultured soil bacterium
Lineage: Bacteria
Description: bacterial SSU rRNA
Rfam family: Bacterial small subunit ribosomal RNA
Source: RNAcentral